CAAGUAUAUGUUCAGCUUCCCCCCACACUUGGAUCACAAUCAAAAGCAAGAAGAGAAUUUGGAAUAUGACCCGAUGGAUGGAAGGAUAUUAUGGCCUCCUAUUGCUGUUGGCGUUGAGAACGAAUUGUGGUCUGCAUGUCGCUGAUUUUGUUCGCUAUGCGUGCUAAAUGAGUAGCAACGCGCUCCAAGAUAUUUUCAAAGCGACUCUCCAUCUGAUC
This 218-nucleotide long non-coding RNA is filed under the name Manihot esculenta (cassava). Its description in RNAcentral is "long non-coding RNA (MESC_LNC009179)". Lineage: Eukaryota; Viridiplantae; Streptophyta; Magnoliopsida; Malpighiales; Euphorbiaceae. The record is from RNAcentral.